Pongo abelii (Sumatran orangutan) is the source of this 109-nucleotide small nuclear RNA. Lineage: Eukaryota; Metazoa; Chordata; Mammalia; Primates; Hominidae. The record is from Ensembl.
GUGCUCGCUUCAGCAGCACAUAUAUACUAAAAUUGGACUGAUACAGAGAAGAUUAGCAUGGCCCCUGUGCAAAGAUGACAUGCAAAUUCGUGAAGCAUUCCAUAUUUUU